Long non-coding RNA from Pongo pygmaeus (Bornean orangutan), 659 nucleotides. RefSeq lists it as uncharacterized. The record is from RefSeq and is a predicted model, not a curated record. NCBI's taxonomy places the organism in Eukaryota, Metazoa, Chordata, Mammalia, Primates, Hominidae. The transcript is spliced from 2 exons.
UUGUGAAGCUACUUGAAUGAAUUGAAUUCAAUUUUUAUAUUAUUUUUAAUUUAUAAAUUUAAAUUUUUAAUUUUUAAUAAAAAUUUAACAAAUUAUUUGAUAAAGAAAAAAAUAGCUAGACUUUUCCAUUUAAAUAACUAUGUUCAUUUUCUUUAUUUCCCUCUGCAUUUUCUGUUUUUUGAGAUGGAGUUUCGCUUUUGUAGUCCAGGCUGGAGUGCACUGGUGCAAUCCUGACUCACCACAACCUCCACGUCCCAGGUUCAAGCGAUUCUCCUGCUUCAGCCUCCCAAGUAGAUAAGGUCUCACUCUGUUGUCCAGGCUGGUGUACAGUGGCUCAGUUAUGGCUCCCUGCAGCUUCAAACUCUUGAGCUCAAGUGAUCUUCCCGUCUCAGCCUGCCAAGUACCUGGGACUAUGACUGUGCACCACCAUACCCGGCUAAUUUUUUAAAUUUUUCUUUCAGUAGAGAGGAAGUCUUGCUGUGUUGCCCAGGCUGGUCUCAAACCCCUGAGCUCAAGAGAUCCUUCUGCCUUGGCCUUCCAAAGUGCUGGGAUUACAGGCAUGAGGCACCACACUCAGCCUUCUUAACACACCAUUUACUGACAGAAUCCUUUUCCUCUGAAAUGCUCUAUUUAUCAAAAAUUAAAUUUCUAUGAAUGGU